CCUAUGGGAGGCAGCAGGCGCGAAAACUUUGCAAUGCGGGAAACCGUGACAAGGGAACUCUGAGUGCCCGUAAAAUCGGGCUGUCCAUUGGUGUAAAAAACCAGUGAAGAAAGGGCCGGGCAAGACCGGUGCCAGCCGCCGCGGUAAUACCGGCGGCUCGAGUGGUGGCCACUAUUACUGGGCUUAAAGCGUUCGUAGCUGGUUUGUUAAGUCUCUGGGGAAAUCUUCCGGCUUAACCGGAAGGCGUCUCAGGGAUACUGGCAGACUAGGGACCGGGAGAGGUGAGAGGUACUCCAGGGGUAGGAGUGAAAUCCUGUAAUCCUUGGGGGACCACCUGUGGCGAAGGCGUCUCACCAGAACGGCUCCGACAGUGAGGGACGAAAGCUGGGGGAGCAAACCGGAUUAGAUACCCAGGUAGUCC
RNAcentral lists this ribosomal RNA (421 nucleotides) under uncultured Methanoregula sp. Its description in RNAcentral is "bacterial SSU rRNA". It matches the Rfam family "Archaeal small subunit ribosomal RNA", at positions 322 to 747 of the family's 1478-position model. Lineage: Archaea; Methanobacteriati; Methanobacteriota; Methanomicrobia; Methanomicrobiales; Methanoregulaceae. The record is from RNAcentral.